Triticum aestivum (bread wheat) is the source of this 2056-nucleotide long non-coding RNA. RefSeq lists it as uncharacterized. The record is from RefSeq and is a predicted model, not a curated record. The transcript has 9 exons. NCBI's taxonomy places the organism in Eukaryota, Viridiplantae, Streptophyta, Magnoliopsida, Poales, Poaceae.
CCGGCCCGCCGCUGCCGAAACCCUGCCGAGCGCGCCGCCAUCGGCCGCCUGCCCCAGCACGCCACCGCCACGACCUCCCUCCCUCAGUGCGGCGCCGCCUAGCCCCUGCCUCCGUUAGAAACAAAAAAGAUGGUGAACUGUGGGAGUACUUCCCUUGCUCUUUCUGCUACAUCAAGGUCGAAAAAAGCCCUUCAUCUGCAUCCAUCUGCCGGAGGAACACUGCUUUGACAUCAGGAACGCUUUCCUCCACUAGAGCCACUGCGGCCCCCGGCAGCCCAUGGUGGAGGAGUUCGUCGCGUCCAUCAGUCCAACCCCAUGGCUUCAGGGCGUCCGAGUUUCGUCGCGGCCAUCAGUUCGGACACCUGCGUCACUGCGUGUGUUGCAACCAUGGCCAUUUGUGUCACUGCGUGCUCCGUCACCGGCCUCCUGCGCACCGUGACCCCUGCCACACUCCUUCCUCUCACUGAAGCCGCUCGUGCCCUCCCAGGCUUGAUAUCCUGCCGCAGCGAUGAGCUCCUGUACAUCGCCGAAGUUCCAUACCUGCUCAACGGCACCAGCACGAGGAUGCAGCAGCUAGGCUGAACCCCAGUUCGUGCCUCAAGGUCAAGUACGCGGACGCCUGCGAGGAGGCACCUUCAGUGCAGGUUCUCCGGUGCGCCAAGUAUUGCCGGCAGCGAUGCCUGCUUACGUCUUCCUCGUAUGAUUCGCCAAGGCCGCGUCCUCCUCUGAGAUAAGAAGAGCGACAAGGAGGUAAAAGGAACACCAGAUUUUUACAAAUUCUGCAGAUGUAGUACGUAUUUGCCAUUUUGCCAAAGCAGUGAGUCUAUGUGCUGAUGUUUCUCUUGUCUUCUCUUGGAUGUAUUUGUCGAUGGAGAGCACGGUCUUUUUUUCGUGGAGCUGGCGCUGCUGCAGUACGGCCUAGUCCAGUCUAAGGCCUCCAUGGUUGCUGCUGCUGUUUCCGCAACCAGGCUACCCCGAAGAAGACCCCUAUGUGAAUUGACAAUCUAAAUUAUACACAAGUAGCAAUGGGGCUGACUGAGAGUGAUCCCUGAACCAUUUCAUUAAAGGCCAUGGUUUCCAAUAAUGCUAAUGCUACUAGAAAGGAACUAGAGGCCAUGAAGCCUCUUAGCUUCUUCAAUUAGCAUGUUUGGCCAGUCCUGAAGCGCCUCCUCAAGCUCUUCGACGAUAACCGGGCGCCCAUCAAGGACAAGAGCUACAACAUCCUUGUUGACACCACUGGAUGGCAAAAGCAAUGAACCAAUACCUACCACUACCGGUCAUUACAAUGCCGCCCUUGUACAAGGUUCAAAGACAUUAUACUGAGAAGGAAAGGAGAUGCUACGGUCAGCAGCUUCCUCGUGCCAUCGCGGUAUGGUCCCUCGAGCAAUAGCUCGUCCACCACGGGUGCUUGCAGCCGUCCAAGUCGAGGGUUGACGCCAGUCCAAGUAGAAUCACACCCACCAUCUUCACUAGCACUGUGCAACCGGCCAUGAGCACACACAACAAGGAAAAAAGUGAAAGCCCGCCAACCCGCGUCGCGUUGCCCCGGGACCCCCGAGCACUGCCGCGCGCCCAUCGCCGGUGCCUGACGCUCGAUCCAGGAGGUGCUAGCUCAUGCUGGCUGGAACUAGGAUGCAAAAGGGUUGACGGAUCCAUGCCGCACAAGCACUGCGCCAUGCUCAGUCCAACCCCGUGGCUUCAGGGUGGCCGAGUUCGUCGCGACCAUCAGUUCAGAGACCUGCGUCACUACCCGUGUCGCUACCAUGGCCACCUGCAUCACUGCGUGCUCCGUCAACAGCCUCCUGCACAGGGAAAAGCAACAGGAGUAGAGGUGUCUGAGAUGCUCUGUUCUAGCGAGGUGGCUAAUUAUGUUUGUUAGUUUGUAAUACUUUGGCUGCAGUGUACUUAUGUAUCUUUUUCUGGCCGGAGCACGACCAGAGCUUAUGUCAGUACCAGCUUUGAUUGUGAUGGUACUACAAACUAUAUAAAAACACCAGCAAUCCAUUUUUACUCGUACUUACCUUUUAUACAAUUCACAUGGAUUGUGCCCCUAUUA